GAUGAACGCUGGCGGCGUGCCUAAUACAUGCAAGUCGAGCGAACGGACGAGAAGCUUGCUUCUCUGAUGUUAGCGGCGGACGGGUGAGUAACACGUGGAUAACCUACCUAUAAGACUGGGAUAACUUCGGGAAACCGUAGCUAAUACCGGAUAAUAUUUUGAACCGCAUGGUUCAAAAGUGAAAGACGGUCUUGCUGUCACUUAUAGAUGGAUCCGCGCUGCAUUAGCUAAUUGGUAAGGUAACGGCUUGCCAAGGCAACGAUGCAUAGCCGACCUGAGAGGGUGAUCGGCCACACUGGAACUGAGACACGGUCCAGACUCCUACGGGAGGCAGCAGUAGGGAAUCUUCCGCAAUGGGCGAAAGCCUGACGGAGCAACGCCGCGUGAGUGAUGAAGGUCUUCGGAUCGUAAAACUCUGUUAUUAGGGAAGAACAUAUGUGUAAGUAACUGUGCACAUCUUGACGGUACCUAAUCAGAAAGCCACGGCUAACUACGUG
Molecule: ribosomal RNA, 497 nt
Filed under: uncultured bacterium
Lineage: Bacteria
Description: partial 16S ribosomal RNA
Rfam family: Bacterial small subunit ribosomal RNA
Source: RNAcentral